GUAGGGAAUAUUGGGCAAUGGUCGGAAGACUGACCCAGCCAUGCCGCGUGCAGGAAGACGGCCCUCUGGGUUGUAAACUGCUUUUAUCUGGGAAGAAAAAGGCCAUGCGUGGCAAAUUGCCGGUACCAGAUGAAUAAGCACCGGCUAACUCCGUGCCAGCAGCCGCGGUAAUACGGAGGGUGCGAGCGGUGUCCGGAUUUAUUGGGUUUAAAGGGUGCGUAGGCGGCUGAUUAAGUCAGCGGUGAAAGACUUCGGCUUAACCGGAGCAGUGCCGUUGAUACUGGUUGGCUUGAGUGUCGGAGGGGUACAUGGAAUUGAUGGUGUAGCGGUGAAAUGCAUAGAUACCAUCAGGAACACCGAUAGCGAAGGCAUUGUACUGGCCGACAACUGACGCUGAUGCACGAAAGUGUGGGGAUCGAACAGGAUUAGAUACCCUAGUAGUCC
This 444-nucleotide ribosomal RNA is filed under the name uncultured bacterium. RNAcentral's name for it is "partial 16S ribosomal RNA". It matches the Rfam family "Bacterial small subunit ribosomal RNA", at positions 354 to 796 of the family's 1533-position model. The record is from RNAcentral.